AAGCAGAGGCUAGAUCAAGUGAGGCAGAGAGGAAAAAACUGCCUAAUCCUUCCUUAAUUUCUGCUUUGUUGAAGGAUGAUUACAUUUUUAAAAAGCCCUAAGCCUGAAGGAGUGACAGAAAGCAGCAGUACUAGAACCAAAACCAGAAGGAGAGAGCCUCCCUAGGAAAGAAGAACCCAGAGUGAAUGGAGUUGAGUACUUGGAGAUGCAAAGAGACCAAGAAAUUAAAGACUGAACCAGAGAAGAGUUCUAGAGGAGACUGUUCUUUGAGAACGUGGAGGAUGAUCAAGCUAAAGGAGCCCAGGGUUUUGAUAUCUCCUGGAGACCAGAGGCUUGACAGCCACCUGCCAGCCACAUUUGCGCCCUUCACCACAUUGUGAUCUCUGAAUGAACUCUUCCUACUGAUGCCUAGCAGCCUCUAUUCCAGCUGCACCCAUGGAGCAGUUCCAGGCAUGGAGAAGUUCCAGAACCAGGAAUCAAACCUGCACCGUAGCUGCAACUGAAGUCACAGCAGUGACAAAGCUGGAUCCUUAACCUGCUGCACCACCAGGGAACUCCAAUUUUUUCUAAUAUUUUAAUUCUAUCUUUUCUAAUUAGAAAAAAAUAGAUAUUACUAUUGCCAUUGUUGUUUACAUGUCACAUUGGUUUAGAAUUGCCCACAUAUUGUCUUUCUCUAACAAAAGAUCUGAUAAAUAAUCACAUCUACUUGUUCAGACUCUGAACUAAUUAAAAGAUAAGCAAGGAUUCAAACAUAUGGGGAAAAAAUGACAUAUUCAAGAAUGUGGCUUAAAUCUGCAGGCAAGAGAGUUUCAUGAUACUGAGCCACAGAAAGAAACUUUAUCCACACUCCAAUGAAAAUAGGGGUCCAUCUCAAUGUGAGAGUACUCCCCUAGAAAUAUGGAUCGAGGAUCAGCAUGGACCUUGUGCAUGCUAGCCAUAGGCAUCUGAUUACAAACAGUGUACAGCACCAGUUCUUUUGUUAUAUGUUAAGUACCAUAUAAUAGAAAGUUUUGUAAUCAAUGUAAAAUCCUCUGUUCUGCCCCUUUCUUAAGAAUUUGUAGCACUUAAAUGAAGAUGAAAGUUUAAAUCUGCUUUUCUUUUUAGGGCUGUACUAUGGCAUAUGGAAGUUUCUGGGCUAGGGGUUGAAUUGGAGCUGCAGGUGCCUGCCUACACCACAGCCACAGCAAAGCUGGAUCCAAGCCACAUUGCAACCUACACCACAGCUCAUGGCAAUGCCAGAUCUUUAGCCCAUUGAGUGUGGCCAGGGAUCAAACCCAAGUCUUCAUGGAUUACUAGUCACGUUCAUUACCACUGAGCCACAACAGGAACUCCUAAAAUGAUUUUCUUAAACUACAAUUCUCUGAUAAUAUUUUUAAAUUUUUUUUAUAAUUUCUAGGGAGAACAAGAUAUCAAAGGGUUGACACAGGAGCAUAUAACACUGUGGUAUUUAAAAUAUAUAGCAAAUAGCUAUAUAUAUAUAUAUAUAAAGAGAGAGAGAGCAUGAGACAGAGAGAGAGAAGUGUUUUCAACGAAUUCUAGGGGUCAAGAUCAGAGCUCUUUCCUUGAAGAACUGAGCUAGUAGGCAAAUCAUUUAAGUAAUGAUUGUGCAAAGGAUAUAUAAGAAUCAGUCAUUAAAGCUGAGGUAAAAUCAGGGAUAGCACAUUGAAAUUUUGGCAGAAAUGAUAUCAUUAAUAUACAGGCCAAAGUUUAAAAUUUAAUCAGAAAGCUAAAUAUUGCACUAGCUUCAGGAUGGGACUAGGCGUUCUCUUGUGGUAUAGCAGGUUAAGGACCCAGUGUCACCACUGCUAUAGCAUGGAUUUGACCCCUGGCUUGGGAACUUCCACAUGCCACAGGUGUGGUCAAAAUCUUAAAUAAAUCAAUAAAGGAUGGAUUAGUGUUCCAUGACUGUCCUAUAUGGAAAAUGAGAUGAUGACCAGCACCUAGAGACACAAGUGUGGCAGGAGUCAGAAUUAACUGGCCCACUCUACUUGUAGAAUAAAAUCUUUUUCUAAAACCCACAAACUAAUAGAUUAGGGUUUGGAGGGCAAGUCAGCAAGAGUAGCUCCUUAUCUACAUGGGUCAGGCCCAUUGAUUGUUUACAAGUGAAGAGAUGGAAUAUAAUACAUAUUAGUAGUGGACAUGACCCUUGGCCAAGAAUUCCAGAGUCUUCCUUGCACAUGCUAUUUACAUGAAGUACUGCAGUAGUCAGAGUAUACCACCUCCACGGAUGUCUCUAGUAGAUGAGAAUUUAAGACUGUACAGAGAGAGCAAAAUGAGCAUGGGAAGGAAAGUAUAGUUAGUUCACAGAACUUUCAGUGCUGUAGCUGCUAUUCAGUGUGAUGGGUGGAAAUAAACCACCCCAUGGGAGUGGAAUCUGUCCAGAGAAAGAGAGAAAUGGCUUAUGUGGGAAAAUGUUGGUUGGAGAAGCAUUUGACAGUUUUCAUCAGUUAUUAACACAAAGGUAAGAGAGAAUAAGUGUAGAGGGGGGAAAAGUGGGAAAAGUUUGGAAAAGUAAUAUCUAGAUUUUUAGAGGGAUUCUGAAGCCAUGAAUACCAAGGCUGGUCAGCAUGGUUUUUUUUGUUUGUUUGUUUUUGUUUUUUGUUUGUUUUUUGUUUUGUUUUGUUUUUUGCUGAGAAAAACAGCAAGAGAAAACCAGCAAGAGAAAACAGAAGGUCGAUGUACUGAUGGAGUGAAGAUGAAUUUUUUCAAUCAUCUGACAACAAAUAUAUGCUUCAUGUGUUGUGAUCUCUGGCUGUCUCUGG
RNAcentral lists this long non-coding RNA (2762 nucleotides) under Sus scrofa (pig). RNAcentral describes it as "lncRNA (ENSSSCG00065074990.1)". Lineage: Eukaryota; Metazoa; Chordata; Mammalia; Artiodactyla; Suidae. The record is from RNAcentral.